AUUAGAUAAAGGCAAACUCAUUGAAAAAUGAGGACGCAAAGCCACGGAUCUAAGGUGUGUAGACUAUGAUAGCCGGGUUGCCAAG
This 85-nucleotide non-coding RNA is filed under the name Pontibacillus marinus. Its description in RNAcentral is "c-di-GMP sequence". It matches the Rfam family "c-di-GMP-I riboswitch aptamer". Rfam says of the family: GEMM was predicted in a large-scale screen for bacterial structured RNA regulatory elements. Genes associated with GEMM are involved in a diverse array of functions, including chemotaxis regulation, signal transduction, secretion and chitin. RNAcentral also lists the same sequence under 1 other name. The record is from RNAcentral. Lineage: Bacteria; Bacillati; Bacillota; Bacilli; Caryophanales; Bacillaceae.